RNAcentral lists this ribosomal RNA (2902 nucleotides) under Salmonella enterica subsp. enterica. RNAcentral describes it as "bacterial LSU rRNA". It matches the Rfam family "Bacterial large subunit ribosomal RNA". The record is from RNAcentral. Lineage: Bacteria; Pseudomonadati; Pseudomonadota; Gammaproteobacteria; Enterobacterales; Enterobacteriaceae.
UUAAGCGACUAAGCGUACACGGUGGAUGCCCUGGCAGUCAGAGGCGAUGAAGGGCGUGCUAAUCUGCGAUAAGCGCCGGUAAGGUGAUAUGAACCGUUAUAACCGGCGAUACCCGAAUGGGGAAACCCAGUGUGACUCGUCACACUAUCAUUAACUGAAUCCAUAGGUUAAUGAGGCGAACCGGGGGAACUGAAACAUCUAAGUACCCCGAGGAAAAGAAAUCAACCGAGAUUCCCCCAGUAGCGGCGAGCGAACGGGGAGGAGCCCAGAGCCUGAAUCAGCAUGUGUGUUAGUGGAAGCGUCUGGAAAGGCGCGCGAUACAGGGUGACAGCCCCGUACACAAAAGCGCAUAUGCUGUGAGCUCGAUGAGUAGGGCGGGACACGUGGUAUCCUGUCUGAAUAUGGGGGGACCAUCCUCCAAGGCUAAAUACUCCUGACUGACCGAUAGUGAACCAGUACCGUGAGGGAAAGGCGAAAAGAACCCCGGCGAGGGGAGUGAAAAAGAACCUGAAACCGUGUACGUACAAGCAGUGGGAGCACCCUUUGGGGUGUGACUGCGUACCUUUUGUAUAAUGGGUCAGCGACUUAUAUUCUGUAGCAAGGUUAACCGAAUAGGGGAGCCGGAGGGAAACCGAGUCUUAAUUGGGCGUUAAGUUGCAGGGUAUAGACCCGAAACCCGGUGAUCUAGCCAUGGGCAGGUUGAAGGUUGGGUAACACUAACUGGAGGACCGAACCGACUAAUGUUGAAAAAUUAGCGGAUGACCUGUGGCUGGGGGUGAAAGGCCAAUCAAACCGGGAGAUAGCUGGUUCUCCCCGAAAGCUAUUUAGGUAGCGCCUCGUGAACUCAUCUCCGGGGGUAGAGCACUGUUUCGGCUAGGGGGCCAUCCCGGCUUACCAACCCGAUGCAAACUGCGAAUACCGGAGAAUGUUAUCACGGGAGACACACGGCGGGUGCUAACGUCCGUCGUGAAGAGGGAAACAACCCAGACCGCCAGCUAAGGUCCCAAAGUCAUGGUUAAGUGGGAAACGAUGUGGGAAGGCCCAGACAGCCAGGAUGUUGGCUUAGAAGCAGCCAUCAUUUAAAGAAAGCGUAAUAGCUCACUGGUCGAGUCGGCCUGCGCGGAAGAUGUAACGGGGCUAAACCAUGCACCGAAGCUGCGGCAGCGACGCUGAUGCGUUGUUGGGUAGGGGAGCGUUCUGUAAGCCUGCGAAGGUGUGUCGUGAGGCAUGCUGGAGGUAUCAGAAGUGCGAAUGCUGACAUAAGUAACGAUAAAGCGGGUGAAAAGCCCGCUCGCCGGAAGACCAAGGGUUCCUGUCCAACGUUAAUCGGGGCAGGGUGAGUCGACCCCUAAGGCGAGGCCGAAAGGCGUAGUCGAUGGGAAACGGGUUAAUAUUCCCGUACUUGGUGUUACUGCGAAGGGGGGACGGAGAAGGCUAUGUUGGCCGGGCGACGGUUGUCCCGGUUUAAGCGUGUAGGCUGGUUUUCCAGGCAAAUCCGGAAAAUCAAGGCUGAGGCGUGACGACGAGGCACUACGGUGCUGAAGCAACAAAUGCCCUGCUUCCAGGAAAAGCCUCUAAGCAUCAGGUAACAUCAAAUCGUACCCCAAACCGACACAGGUGGUCAGGUAGAGAAUACCAAGGCGCUUGAGAGAACUCGGGUGAAGGAACUAGGCAAAAUGGUGCCGUAACUUCGGGAGAAGGCACGCUGACAUGUAGGUGAAGUGAUUUACUCAUGGAGCUGAAGUCAGUCGAAGAUACCAGCUGGCUGCAACUGUUUAUUAAAAACACAGCACUGUGCAAACACGAAAGUGGACGUAUACGGUGUGACGCCUGCCCGGUGCCGGAAGGUUAAUUGAUGGGGUCAGCGCAAGCGAAGCUCCUGAUCGAAGCCCCGGUAAACGGCGGCCGUAACUAUAACGGUCCUAAGGUAGCGAAAUUCCUUGUCGGGUAAGUUCCGACCUGCACGAAUGGCGUAAUGAUGGCCAGGCUGUCUCCACCCGAGACUCAGUGAAAUUGAACUCGCUGUGAAGAUGCAGUGUACCCGCGGCAAGACGGAAAGACCCCGUGAACCUUUACUAUAGCUUGACACUGAACAUUGAGCCUUGAUGUGUAGGAUAGGUGGGAGGCUUUGAAGCGUGGACGCCAGUCUGCGUGGAGCCGACCUUGAAAUACCACCCUUUAAUGUUUGAUGUUCUAACGUGGACCCGUGAUCCGGGUUGCGGACAGUGUCUGGUGGGUAGUUUGACUGGGGCGGUCUCCUCCUAAAGAGUAACGGAGGAGCACGAAGGUUGGCUAAUCCUGGUCGGACAUCAGGAGGUUAGUGCAAUGGCAUAAGCCAGCUUGACUGCGAGCGUGACGGCGCGAGCAGGUGCGAAAGCAGGUCAUAGUGAUCCGGUGGUUCUGAAUGGAAGGGCCAUCGCUCAACGGAUAAAAGGUACUCCGGGGAUAACAGGCUGAUACCGCCCAAGAGUUCAUAUCGACGGCGGUGUUUGGCACCUCGAUGUCGGCUCAUCACAUCCUGGGGCUGAAGUAGGUCCCAAGGGUAUGGCUGUUCGCCAUUUAAAGUGGUACGCGAGCUGGGUUUAGAACGUCGUGAGACAGUUCGGUCCCUAUCUGCCGUGGGCGCUGGAGAACUGAGGGGGGCUGCUCCUAGUACGAGAGGACCGGAGUGGACGCAUCACUGGUGUUCGGGUUGUCAUGCCAAUGGCACUGCCCGGUAGCUAAAUGCGGAAGAGAUAAGUGCUGAAAGCAUCUAAGCACGAAACUUGCCCCGAGAUGAGUUCUCCCUGAGACUUUAGGUCUCCUGAAGGAACGUUGAAGACGACGACGUUGAUAGGCCGGGUGUGUAAGCGCAGCGAUGCGUUGAGCUAACCGGUACUAAUGAACCGUGAGGCUUAACCUU